Molecule: non-coding RNA, 733 nt
Organism: Zonotrichia albicollis (white-throated sparrow)
Lineage: Eukaryota; Metazoa; Chordata; Aves; Passeriformes; Passerellidae
Source: RefSeq, a predicted model, not a curated record
GGCACUGACCAACACCAGAGGGCACAGAGGGCACUCAGGUGCAGUGCAUCAACAGGAGGGGAUAAAAGGCUGGGCUAAAGAACAACAAAGAGCAGGGAUCUGCAGCCUUCUGCAGCGAUGUUCCUCUGUAUGGGCAGAGGCUUGAAGCCGUCUGAUGAGUUUCACAUAUGGAAAAGUGUAUGCCUGGAUGUGGCUGGGCAAGGACACAUUUCAAAGACAGUGUAACACUGAUCACAGAGAGAGGCUGUCAAAGCCACUGCAUCAGCACAGCUGCUCGGGAGCGUGUCGAAGGAGGGAGCUGUUACAAUCACCGAGGCCACCAGGUGGUGCCAUUGCCCCGCAGCACAAGAGCCCGCGGCCGCUCCCCCCAACCCAGCCGGGGCAAGGGCCUGCGUCAGGAACUGCUUUAGCCUCCCACAAACAUUUCCUUAUCUUCGUCCAAAAGUAGGAAAAAACCCACCCCAAACCGUAAUUGCUAAGACUUCCAUGCGUGCCUAUAAGAAAAAAGAAGUUAAUUUUUACUUGGGAUAGGGAUGAUUAGAUUUAGACCCAGGUAAUUUAACAUUUUGCUUCUCUAUUGACGUAAAUAAGAGCUACAUGCAUAAAGAGCAUAGAAGCUAUUGCAUUUACUACAUUACUAUUUCUGUGAUAAAUGAACCAAUGCUUACAUCUGCAAUGACUGAAACAAUAUCUCUUUAAGCUUUCUUCAAAUAAAUACGCUGACAAUGCCAAC